AAAAUGCGAUAAGUAAUGUGAAUUGCAAAAUUCAGUGAAUCAUCGAAUCUUUGAACGCACAUUGCGCCCGCCAGUAUUCUGGCGGGCAUGCCUGUUCGAGCGUCAUUUCAACCCUCAAGCUCAGCUUGGUGUUGGGACUCGCGGUAACCCGCGUUCCCCAAAUCGAUUGGCGGUCACGUCGAGCUUCCAUAGCGUAGUAAUCAUACACCUCGUUACUGGUAAUCGUCGCGGCCACGCCGUAAAACCCCAACUUCUGAAUGUUGACCUCGGAUCAGGUAGGAAUACCCGCUGAACUUAAGC
This 300-nucleotide unclassified non-coding RNA is filed under the name plant metagenome. Its description in RNAcentral is "partial contains 5.8S ribosomal RNA, internal transcribed spacer 2, and large subunit ribosomal RNA". The stretch from base 1 to 105 matches the Rfam family "5.8S ribosomal RNA", at positions 50 to 154 of the family's 154-position model. The record is from RNAcentral.